RNAcentral lists this ribosomal RNA (301 nucleotides) under uncultured bacterium. RNAcentral's name for it is "partial 16S ribosomal RNA". It matches the Rfam family "Bacterial small subunit ribosomal RNA", at positions 509 to 807 of the family's 1533-position model. The record is from RNAcentral.
CAGCCGCCGCGGUAAUACGAAGGGUGCAAGCGUUACUCGGAAUUACUGGGCGUAAAGCGUGCGUAGGUGGUGGUUUAAGUCCGUUGUGAAAGCCCUGGGCUCAACCUGGGAAUUGCAGUGGAUACUGGGUCACUAGAGUGUGGUAGAGGAUAGUGGAAUUUCCGGUGUAGCAGUGAAAUGCGUAGAGAUCGGAAGGAACAUCUGUGGCGAAGGCGACUAUCUGGGCCAACACUGACACUGAGGCACGAAAGCGUGGGGAGCAAACAGGAUUAGAGACCCGCGUAGUCCCUGUCUCUUAUAC